UGGGGAAUAUUGGGCAAUGGAGGCAACUCUGACCCAGCAACGCCGCGUGAGGGAAGAAGGUUUUCGGAUUGUAAACCUCUGUCCUAGGGGACGAAGAAAGUGACGGUACCCUAGGAGGAAGCCCCGGCUAACUACGUGCCAGCAGCCGCGGUAAUACGUAGGGGGCAAGCGUUGUCCGGAAUUACUGGGCGUAAAGGGUGCGUAGGCGGUAUGGUAAGUUAGAUGUGAAAUCCCCGGGCUUAACUCGGGAGUUGCAUUUAAAACUGUCAGACUAGAGUGCAGGAGAGGAAAGCGGAAUUCCUAGUGUAGCGGUGAAAUGCGUAGAUAUUAGGAGGAACACCAGUGGCGAAGGCGGCUUUCUGGACUGUAACUGACGCUGAGGCACGAAAGCGUGGGGAGCGAACA
Molecule: ribosomal RNA, 405 nt
Filed under: uncultured prokaryote
Description: bacterial SSU rRNA
Rfam family: Bacterial small subunit ribosomal RNA
Source: RNAcentral